Molecule: long non-coding RNA, 1816 nt
Filed under: Citrus x clementina
Lineage: Eukaryota; Viridiplantae; Streptophyta; Magnoliopsida; Sapindales; Rutaceae
Description: Citrus clementina (C. clementina) long non-coding RNA (CCLE_LNC004555)
Source: RNAcentral
AUUACACAUAAAAUAAAUAAAAAAAUUAGCGAGCGAGUCAGUCGCCCUUAUGGGCGACUGUCGCUAGCACUCAUCUUAUACUUAAAGGGUUAUUUUUAGGGACCUCCCCUGAGGUUUGGUGUAUUAACACUUAGAUAAAAUGUAUUGAUGUAAUUACAUAUACCUCCCUUAUCGUUAGUAUAAAAAUACGUAUGGCAUCAGUAUAGAAGGGUAAAUGUGUAAAAUCAUAUUUAAAAUUCAAAAUAUGUUUUUACUACUAUUUUGACCGACUUGCCCGUUGUUGACCGAACUUAACCAGUUGGCCAUGACUCCACCGGCAGCCACCAUUUCGUCGCCGUCCAUCCCCUCAACCAACCCCCAUGAAGUCCCAACCUCAAUAACAUCUCAACAGCCACAAAACCCACGAUUUUUUCAUCCCACACUUGCAGCCACAUUCAAACUCAUGAGAUCUCGCUGCCGCCAUCUUGUCAAAGUCCGUUGAUGGUGCUCAAUCGCAAAGCGGGAAUGGAAUCAAUAGCUUGCCUGAACUAGAAUAGCCUGGUUGAGAAGGGGAUACAAAGUCUGGGAUGGUCGUGGACAAGAUUCGAACCCGGGAAGAAAAUAACACGGGUUGGUUUUGGGAAAAUUAUGCUCCUUGUAGGUGCUCUUUCGAAAGCAUAGAGCUGGGCAGCGGAGAAAGAAAGGAAGGGAACAAGGUAGAAAGAAAGACAUGAUGGCGUUGAAGGUGUAUAAGCCAAGCCAAAGGAUGGCGCCAAGGAAGAUGGCAGGCAGCAAAAGCAGUGGUUGAAGACCCAGUUUGGAAGCAGCAGCCGGCCAAACCUAUUACCCAUAAAUUCUCAAAGCCACAUUUAAUAAUUUAUUAUUUUGGUGAGAAGGGUAUUUUAGUAAUUGUGACAGUCCACUAACAGUCAACUUAACGACUAAUUAACGGCAGGGGAGGUUUCUGUAAUUAUAUCAAUACAUUCUAUCUAAGUGUUAAUACACUAAACCUCAGGGGAGGUCCUUAAAAAUAACCCUAUACUUAAAUCACAAGUUGUGACACUAUUAUACAUGUAAGUUAAGCCCGAAAUGAUAGUUUGACUUUUUGAGUGCUACUAGAUCUUGAUUUACUCAUGAUAUUAAUUAUGGACUCGACUAGCUUACAGAAUCUGUAAGGUACAGACUGCAGCAUCAGCCGUUGGAUGUGGAGUGAGAAACUGAACAAUAGAAAAUCGGAUGGUGGGAUGACGGGAGAUGUUUGUUACAGAAUCUGUACCAUAGACAGGUCCAUUAAUUAUUGUUUAUAUGUGUCAAUGGUCAAUGCUUAUACUCUUUUUUUUCUUACCACGAGGUAUUUUGGGGAGGACCCCAACUGUGGGAGACACCUUUAAGUUUGUACCACAACUUAGACUAGAAGUUCUCGCUCGAGAGGCACAUGUUCUCCCAACAAAGGUGACUUCCCUAUGACUUAAAUUGGGAAACAAAUCCAGUCAAACCACUUAAGGAAACUCCAUUAUCAGUGGAGCCAACACUUUAUUGGUCAAUGCUUAUACUCUUUAAUCAAGCAAAUUAACUUGCUUUUGUCCUUUCAUGGCCACUUGGAUUUCAUAAUUGGUAAGUUGGCCCAGACCCCUUUUGUAAGCCAUGCCCAUACUUUAUUAAUCGAGAAAACUUCCAAGUUUCCGACAUUGACCUGUCUUCAUGCAGAAGGUUCUUCUGUUGUCUUUUCCUUCAGAGAUCAAGUUACAGCUGGUUAGGAUUAAUUUUUUAGGCGCUUUCCCUGUUUUUAGCAAGAGAUUUUAUAAUAUAUCUCUUGUAUUAUAAUUAAUUAAUACAU